UAUUUAGAAAAACAGGUGAGU
Molecule: non-coding RNA, 21 nt
Filed under: Drosophila melanogaster (fruit fly)
Lineage: Eukaryota; Metazoa; Arthropoda; Insecta; Diptera; Drosophilidae
Source: RNAcentral